GCGGCGGUCGGCGGCGCGGAGGCGGGGCGGGGUCAAAAUGCUCCACCACACGGGGUGAGGAGCGCAAGCCGGCCCCGCCUACACCAGGCCUGUGGCGCGGCUUGCAGUUGCGGACUUGCGACGGGCAUUUCCGAGGCUGGCGGCAGAAGGUUUGAAUCCUGGUAACGCUAGGCCUGCGCCCCUGGAUCCCGCCGGGCUGAAGUGGCGCCCUUCCAGAACUCCGAGUCUCCCUUUCAGCUUACUCUUUGGAUAACAGCAGGAAAAUUAAUGAACUCCAUCUUUGGCAUGGAUUAGAAAAUUCCACUGUGCCAUUGAUGGCGCUUACAGAGACUCCAGAACUUUACAGAAACCCUCCAUCGAAAGCUACAAGGAACACAGGUAAAGCUGGCCUGAUUUCCUUGUUCACAGUCUGGAAAAGAAAGGGAGAAGGAAAAGGAGGAAAGUACCUGGCUGGGGGAAGUGUGCCCAGACAGAGGGAGGUGCUUUCCCGAGCCGUUCUGGGAACCAUCCGUCUCUGCAGCGGCACAAUGCCCUCCUCAUUCCCUGGGUCCUCGCGACAUGGUGGCUGACUUGGAGCCUUCUCUCGCACAGAAUCAGUGGCAAACAUUCAGACUUGUGGCCACUGGGCACGUCUUGGGCAGGCUCCUUCAGCCACUGGGGUGGGUUCCCACUCUCAGCAGAGAUGGGAACAAACUGUA
Molecule: non-coding RNA, 698 nt
Organism: Manis javanica (Malayan pangolin)
Lineage: Eukaryota; Metazoa; Chordata; Mammalia; Pholidota; Manidae
Source: RefSeq, a predicted model, not a curated record